This 452-nucleotide ribosomal RNA is filed under the name uncultured Pseudomonas sp. RNAcentral's name for it is "bacterial SSU rRNA". It matches the Rfam family "Bacterial small subunit ribosomal RNA", at positions 930 to 1382 of the family's 1533-position model. Lineage: Bacteria; Pseudomonadati; Pseudomonadota; Gammaproteobacteria; Pseudomonadales; Pseudomonadaceae. The record is from RNAcentral.
CGGUGGAGCAUGUGGUUUAAUUCGAAGCAACGCGAAGAACCUUACCAGGCCUUGACAUGCAGAGAACUUUCCAGAGAUGGAUUGGUGCCUUCGGGAACUCUGACACAGGUGCUGCAUGGCUGUCGUCAGCUCGUGUCGUGAGAUGUUGGGUUAAGUCCCGUAACGAGCGCAACCCUUGUCCUUAGUUACCAGCACGUUAUGGUGGGCACUCUAAGGAGACUGCCGGUGACAAACCGGAGGAAGGUGGGAUGACGUCAAGUCAUCAUGGCCCUUACGGCCUGGGCUACACACGUGCUACAAUGGUCGGUACAAAGGGUUGCCAAGCCGCGAGGUGGAGCUAAUCCCAUAAAACCGAUCGUAGUCCGGAUCGCAGUCUGCAACUCGACUGCGUGAAGUCGGAAUCGCUAGUAAUCGUGAAUCAGAAUGUCACGGUGAAUACGUUCCCGGGCCUU